AUGGGACAUGGUUGUGACUAUGUUGAUGUGGUGCUCGUCUGGUUGAUGCUCUAUGCCCUGCUCAUGCAUCGGUUCCUACACAUAAAUCCCCAAGACCAACUUUGGUUGAUGCUAAAAUGUGAUGAGGUGGGGGUGCGGCGGUCUGCAUCCACGCGCUGCUCGGCAUCACCAGGUCGUCGGCACAUAUCCUCGUGCCCAUGCUGUUCAACACGCCGCAGCUCUUGCCCACAGAUCCUCGAGAGUAAUGGAAUGUUGAUUGGCUGGUGGCGGCAUGUUCAAGUAUGGGAAAUGAUGAGCUCGUGCUUAUUUUUAUGCCAGCUCUAUGCCGUAGAACCGUUAAAGUCUGAGCUAGGAUUUUGA
RNAcentral lists this ribosomal RNA (360 nucleotides) under Triticum aestivum (bread wheat). RNAcentral describes it as "partial small subunit ribosomal RNA". The record is from RNAcentral. Lineage: Eukaryota; Viridiplantae; Streptophyta; Magnoliopsida; Poales; Poaceae.